This 143-nucleotide ribosomal RNA is filed under the name Myoxocephalus scorpius (shorthorn sculpin). RNAcentral describes it as "partial small subunit ribosomal RNA". It matches the Rfam family "Bacterial small subunit ribosomal RNA", at positions 770 to 946 of the family's 1533-position model. The record is from RNAcentral. Lineage: Eukaryota; Metazoa; Chordata; Actinopteri; Perciformes; Cottidae.
AACUGGGAUUAGAUACCCCACUAUGCCUAGCCCUAAACAUUGAUAGUAUUAUACACCCACUAUCCGCCCGGGAACUACGAGCAAUAGCUUAAAACCCAAAGGACUUGGCGGUGCUUUAGAUCCACCUAGAGGAGCCUGUUCUA